Molecule: long non-coding RNA, 2507 nt
Organism: Astyanax mexicanus (Mexican tetra)
Lineage: Eukaryota; Metazoa; Chordata; Actinopteri; Characiformes; Acestrorhamphidae
Exons: 4
Source: RefSeq, a predicted model, not a curated record
CGCAAAGUUGUGACGAAUGCAAGCUGAGAGAAUGGCGACCCUGAGGAAGAUAUAAAAAAAGGGAAAAGAUGGAUUAGAUGUUGGCAAGCUUCUGCAGAUCCAUGGACAGAUCCUUGACCUCGCUGGACAGAUGCUGCAGAGUGUGAUUAAAGCCGUCCAGCACUGGCUGAAGGUGGGUCAUCACAGCUGCAAAGACUUUAUGGACCGUCAAGAGAGUGACCGAGUCCAUGAACGGCAGAGAACCAGUGGGAGGGAUUGUUCCACCAGAACCUGAAAACAGUACAUUAAUAGGAAACAGUGGGACGCUGGGAGGCGGCUGAACUGGACCAUUAUCCCAGCUUCCAUCCUCCAGCAGUACACAGGAGGCCUUGUUCUCAGCGCUGACCCCGUUUCAGACCCCCACCCUGGACCCCUUCAUGGAUGCAGCAGACCCUCAGCUGCCAUUUCUCAGGCUGAAGAGAAAACAUGCCACCAGCGGAGAGGUUGUGAGUGGGCCGGACUGUUUGGAGAGUCGGGAGCUCUGGGAGAAGGAGGCUAUUGUGUGAGGAGGGCCCGGGAGGAGCCGGCCCCUGGCAACAGAGUGGCCUGGUGGUCCUCAGAGCCUCGGUGUCGACCCCGCCUGCUGCUAUCGUGUGUGGCUCAGCUGUGACAACAUAUACACACACACACCCACACAUACACACACUGCUGGUCCAGACACUUUCAGCACAACCCGGCUCUUCCUGCUCUCUCACACACACUCUGAUGGAGCACUUCCUGUCUGAGUUAAGGGUCUUACACACUGAGCGGACCCUCCACCACACAUCUCUAAAUCAUCUCAUCAUCUCCUGCUCAUCUUCAAUUACAUAUUUUUACUGCUAUUUAGGAAAAUGUGAUUUUUAGUUUUUAUUAGUCUUCUGUAAUUAACAUUUAUCAAAAGGACACUAAGCGGUGGGCACCAGAUGCUAUGUAGAGGUGUACGUGAUGAGCAAAACAUAUAUAAAAUUGUGAGCAAUUACAAUAAGAAUGGUUAAAAUGGUGAUUUCUAAGGCAAAAACACUGCUGAUCAAAAAUAACAUUUACCAUAUUUUUCACACCAUAUUUUUGAUCAAUAAACGUACAUUUUUGGGUCUAUUUUUUUUAUACAGAAGGCUCACAUCGGAUUAUAAGGCACAUUAUUUUUAAAGUUCAACGAGUGCUGGAUGUUAAUCUACACAGAUUUCUCUCCUGAAAACUGUUUCUUUGGGUGAGUAAAGCGCUUUAGUUUAUCUACACUAAGAUGAGAUUAGAUUCCCAGAUUUGCACUAAAGCUAGCCAUAGAGUUUUCCGGUAACCCAGGGCAAUAUCAGCUAGCGGUUUGCCCCACAUAGCUUGUUUUACCCGGUAAACACACAGGCUACAGUCUGAUAUAUUUAUCUCUAAACAGCGGAAGAGUAAUGCUAAAGGCUAAUGCUAAAGGGUAGUGCUAAUGCUGCUCCAGCAGUGCUAGCUGAGGUUAACAGCAGGCUACAGUCCGACAUACUCACCUCUGAACAACGAAAGAGCUAAAUAAAGCUUAGCACAGUUAGUAGCACAGUUAGCAAAUAAUGCUAAUGCUGCUCCAUCAGUGAGAGCAAAGGUUAUCAGCAAGCUACAGUCUGAUAUACUCACCUCUGAAUGAUGAAAGAGCUAACUAGCACUUAGCGUGGUUAGCAAAAAAUGCUAAUGCUGAUCCAGCAGUGAUAGCAAAGGUUAUCAGCAAGCUACAGUCUGAUAUACUCGCCUCUGAAUGGCAAAAGAGCUAACUAGCACUUAGCGCGGUUUGCGAGUAAUGCUAAUGCUGCUCCAGCAUUGAUAACAGUGGUUAGCAGCAGGCUACAGCACGAUAUACGAUAUACUCGGCUCUGUACGGCAAAAGAGCUAGAACUUAUUCUGAUUGAGAUGCUGUGGAUGACCUUAAACAGGUGAUUCAUGCUGGAAACCCUCCAAUUUGUCUGAAUAAAACAAUUCUGUAAAGAAGAGUGGAACCAAAUUCCUCCACAGAGAUGUGAAAGACUCUUUGUUAUCAGUAAAACUUCAUUGCAGUUGUUGCUGCCAAGAGUGACACAACCAAGUUAUGAGAUUUAGUGGACAAACCCUUUUUUACACAGGGCUAGAUUGGUUUGAAUAGAUUUUUUUCCAUUAAUAAAUGAAAUUAUCAUUUAAAAAACUUUUUGUUUUGUUUUUUAUAUUUACUCAGAUUAUCUUUUGUCUGAUAAUAAACUACAGCUCUUAAAAAAUGAUGUUUCUUUGAUUUUACCAAAUUUAAAACCUCUAGAAUAUAAUCAAGAGGAAGAUGGAUGAUCACAAGCCAUCAAACCAAGCUGAACUGCUUGUAUUUUUGCACCAGGAGUGGCGGCAUAAAGUUAUCCAAAAGCAGUGUGUAAGACUGGUGGAGGAGAAAAUGCCAAGACACCAAAUAUUGAUUUCUGAACUCGUAAAACUUUAUGAAUAUGAACUUGUUUUCUUUGCAUUGUUUGAGGUCUGAAAGCUCUGCAUCUUUUUUGAUA